This 488-nucleotide ribosomal RNA is filed under the name uncultured bacterium. RNAcentral describes it as "bacterial SSU rRNA". It matches the Rfam family "Bacterial small subunit ribosomal RNA", at positions 1 to 507 of the family's 1533-position model. The record is from RNAcentral.
ACGAGUUUGAUCCUGGCUCAGAAUCAACGCUGGCGGCGUGCCUCAGACAUGCAAGUCGAACGAUUAAGACUUCCUUCGGGAAGUGCAUAAAGUGGCGCACGGGUGAGUAACACGUAAGUAAUCUACCCUCGAGUGGGGAAUAACGUUCGGAAACGGACGCUAAUACCGCAUAACGCAGCGGCACCGCAAGGUGACAGUUGUUAAAGGAGCAAUCCGCUUGAGGAGGAGCUUGCGGCAGAUUAGCUAGUUGGUAAGGUAAUGGCUUACCAAGGCUACGAUCUGUAUCCGGUCUAAGAGGACGGUCGGACACACUGACACUGAAUAACGGGUCAGACUCCUACGGGAGGCAGCAGUCGGGAAUUUUGGGCAAUGGGCGAAAGCCUGACCCAGCAACGCCGCGUGAAGGAUGAAGUAUUUCGGUAUGUAAACUUCGAAAGAAUAGGAAGAAUAAAUGACGGUACUAUUUAUAAGCUCCGGCUAACUACGUG